Molecule: long non-coding RNA, 4791 nt
Organism: Clupea harengus (Atlantic herring)
Lineage: Eukaryota; Metazoa; Chordata; Actinopteri; Clupeiformes; Clupeidae
Source: Ensembl
GGGGAUCUGUGAUCUGCUGUGCAGGGGUUGGUCUGGAAGAGUGUACAUUAUGGCUUACACCUUCAUAAAACAAGCAUGCUCCUAACACACAUUGUGAGAUAACUCCAUGUGGCUAGCGAGUUUCUGUCAUAUCAACAAUGAGAGGUAUGUAAUAUUAGCUCGGGUCCGCAGUUAAUAGAUAAACAGAGUUGACAGUUGAAUUUUGUCAUGAUGUUGCCAACGCUCGGUUAAACGGAUGCAUGGAAGACUUACUUCAUCCAUGAAAAUACCAGCACCACUGUUGAUUCAUUAAAGCCAAUAUUUCAGCUGACAUUUUACAUGUGUUCAUACAGUGACAGGAACCUCAAUAUGUUAACUCCGUCAGUUAUAAUUCCUUUUUGCUGUAUUUACCACAAAACCUCUGGUAAAACAAAACACUCUUGCACUUGUUGUCCACUCACGUCACAUUUAAUCAAUAAGCAACUUACAAAUAGUUUACUCAGUUGCAACACAGUUAUAGUCUGCAAGUUAGCAGAUCAGACAACAUUAGGUUAGGUCCAGAUUGACUGAGUCGGUCAGGUUACGGCAAAUCGUCCACAUUUUAAGGAGGGCCUUAACAUCUGCAGAGGAGAGCAUCAGAAUGUCAUAACCUACUUACACCAUUAUCUAACUAAAGCCUCUUUGGACAGCAUGUCAGAUCGGUGUGGUCAAACCCAUGGGGGAAAAAUGAUGAAAUGUCCAGAAAUGGAAAAAAAAAAAAAAAAAAAAAACACACAACAUGAAAAUAUGUAAAGCUGAUUACAUGAUGAGGGAUUCUUACACAACUGGUUUUCAGCAUAGACAGCCAUCUGUCAUCUGUGAAUGACUGGCUCGUUUUCUGCAUUGUUUGUGGAGCAAACAGGACUUCCUGAUAUCACGUUUCUAUAAAAAAAAUAUUCUUCAUUGAUUAUGUAGGCCAAUGCAUGGUACCCCAAACAAUUAUCAGUAAGAAUCACCAUUUUUCACACAAAGAACCAGUUGCUGGCAGAAGGGCUUUCCUCAACGCAUGGAAUCAAGGAAAGUCUUAACCUUUUGGACUCAAACCUUUUAACUACUGUGCAUACUUAGGUGGGGCUUGUUGUGGUCAUUGUUGCAUAUUAAUUAAAUGCAAGUAGAAUAGAAGCAUCAACUCUCUAUGUUUUCAACAUAGUCAAGCUGUGUAGCCAGCAAGUAAAACAAAACUGUAAAUGUACUGCAAUGGAAAGAAAAUGGUGAAUUAACCAUCAAGGACCUUGCAGGUUUAGUUUCACUGCAUCAACUCUGUGUGAACUUUCCCAACAUUAUUCAGACAGAGUUCCAGAAACAACUGUAACUGCAUCACAUUCAAUUUUCCUGUUUCCUGCAGCACAGUCCGAAAGCAAAAGAGAGGGAGAAAAGAUAAGAGACACCGAGAAAAAGAGCAGAGGGGGUGCACGAGGGAUCUAGUUUAAAAAAGGUGCUAGCAGUUUUGAAGCAGUGAUCCCUCUUUGUGUUGGCUGCCCAUGGUUCACUGCGCUGGCAGAAGGCUAAGAAAGAUGUAUGACUACCCAUCUUUUUUACAGUAUAUCAUUCGAGCACCAUGUUGUAGUGUUAAAUGAGCUCUGUGUGCAUUCACAUCUUUUUUCAGUCCCACAUAAAUAAGACUUCAUGACCAGGAAACUCAACCUGAUCCAAACCAAACAUUGUUAACAACCACAGCCCGGAGUACUGGGCACAGAGACAACAAGCAAACUAAUGUCUUCAUUAAACAGUAAAAUAGGCACAGAUUACCAGGAGUGCUGAACCUGCCAUACAAAAUCCAGGGCCAGGCUGAGGUAAUCUGUUGUUGUUUUUAGUUUUUUUUUGCCUGAGGGAGGAACACAUCAGACUAUUGUUCCAGGGCCUUUAUGGGACCACAGACUGAAGACCUUGGGAUCGUCAUGUUCUGUAUGACAUCAUCCGCUGGAACAACUGAGGGUGAAACAGUCACAAUAACCACAGAGGGAGUAUGAAGUUUGCCCUGCAUGUCCCCUCAGGUAAAUUAAAUGACUGAUGAAAAUCCUUCAGGGCUUUCAAAAUCACUAAAUGUUUCCAGAACAUUAAUCUGCUGGAAGAAGGUAGGUAUAUUUCUUUCUCCACUGGAAGUUUCUUCAAUGUAGUGUUUCAAUUAGAAUAUUCAAGAAACUGUUACAUUUCCUUUCAGCAUUUUCAUGCCAUAGACUACUGAAUGUGAUUCACUAGCUAACUGGCCUACACAUUAGGGUCCUCUAGGUGAGAAUAUUAUUAAAAUACAUAAAAAUAGGCCUACAUAAAUCCUGUGUGCAUAUUAACUUUGUAUACAUGCCACAUUGCAUGAAAGAGAAAACACCUCACUAGAUCUAUGCUAAUUGAGCUUGGUGAGGACAAAGAACAGAGCCCAGAACAUAUUACUAAACUCCUGUCGAGGAAAUUACCUCUGGAACAGCCUUAUGCAAAUCAAUGACAAUGAUUUCCAUGCCCCACGCAGCUGUAUUUGUGAUCUAUGCUGUUUACAAUACAAACACCUGCCUUCUGAACAAUGCAACGAACAAAGUAAGAAUCGUAGCCCAACAAUGUGAAUUGCAAAUGACACCUUGUCGCCUUUGAGUGCGACUACCGUUGCUAUCUAUAAACACUGACGUGCAAAGGUUCGUUUGAAAUGAAUGAGUCUCUUUAAUUAUCUUUAAUGUCUACUACCUAACACUGUGCAGCUUCUAUCUUCCUAUUGAGAUUACGGACUACUACACGGGUGUCAGAGAAAGACAAGUCGAAGGUCAGUGUAUAUUGAGCAACUGAGGCCUGUGCCAUACCGCUUACCUCACCUGUGCGUGGCGGCUUUUCAUUUCGGCACCCACAGGUUAAGUUAGAGCAGCCUGUGUGAGACGCGCGUCUGAGGCGCGGCUCGUCAGCUACCAUUUCGGCGUGGAGACUUAUUUUUCACCCGUGAGGUGCGCGUUUCUCAGCCAAAUUAGACAGCAAAAAAGACAAAAAUAAACAAGCUAGCAGUAGUAGCACCUCAACGAUGUGGCCAUACACUUGCGUGCGAACCUCAGCAGCUCGGCAAGGUUGCAGUCACGCACAGGCCCACUUUCCGGUGGAUCCGAACUGCUCAACUUUCUCUUCUCGGUCCUCUUCAUGGUGUAGGUAGUACCUGGAUUCAAUCAAGAGCUAGUAGACGGAGUCAUUCAUUGAAACUUGUGCGAUUCCCCGCUUGUGGGUUUAGCAGGUUAGCCUUUUAUCUGUCCAACACAUUGGUCAACGUUGUGGUUUGCAGAAAUUCAUUACGUUUCUGGAACACUCCAUCAAGAUAAGGUAGUGGUAUUUUCUCACAAAAUAAAAGCCCACACAACAAAGUGUUUCUGCGUUGAUUUUUGUCGCGAACAGUGAGAGCAAGCUAACUAACUAGCAACUUCAGUCGCACUGGCUUGUUGGUUACGUUUGAAACUACAUGAUGAGGCUUGUCAUUCGGUGGAGUCUUGAUGCUAAGUUCAUGUUGGCUAGCACUUCGCGCGAGAGGCUAGCUAUCAGUGCCCAGACUGAAAAGUUAGUAUCAACGUAUGCAAAGGCAUACAAAUAAUCAAAAACUGUGGACUUUCAAUGAAAACAAAGAUGUUCGACACCGACUUCACGUACUAAGUGACGUCAUCACCGUAAUGUUCCGUUUAAAACAGCUAAGUUAAUUUCAGUGACCAUCAAAGCUUUCAAGAAAUGAAACAAUUGCGAAUAGUUGCUGAGCCAGUUUACACCACGAAUCCGACCUACCGGGUCCCCGUCGAGUAAAAUUUCGUUAGCUUAGCUAACGUUAGCUGUGACAAUUUAAACAGAACUAGUAUCACUGUUCUGUCCUAUCACCACAGUUGUCUCCUCCAACGCCGGAGCUAGCUUCCUUGAGCUAAAAUAUAAUGUCAUUGAAUAUCCCAUGAAAAACGUUUCUUGGCAACACAACAAAUGUAGAUUCUUCUUCGGUUCCCGCGGCGAUAUGCUUAUGUUUCAGCGAAGUAUGUCAAUUACACCAUGUAUCCCCUGCACGUUUAGCUCGCGUUCCGCUGGAGACACGUACUGACAAGUAUCGCAUGUCCAGUCUGUCAGGUAGGUGUAAAAUGUGCGACACAACCGCUUCUUGUCUGCAUUGGACUGGUAACGUGUGAUGCUAUUGAAGAAUGGGUUCAUCCGGUUAGCGAGAUACCUUCUCCUCCAGUACCCCCACAGGCGGUGAUAUAUUGCUGCAGAUGCAAUACCCCGGCAACCAGUGUGAAGAUCUCCACAUGACUUGCUUCCUGAAUCUUGUCUCAAGCGUAAUGUCAGUGGAUGUUUACUUGAUAACUGAUCGAAGGUCAGAGUGACUAAUACGUUGACCAAAUGCUAUAACGUAAAGGGAGUUUAGGCUGAUUUCACAUCAGUUUAAAAAUCAGCAAGGAAAAAUGCAGACGAAAAAAAAGUGAGGCUGUUUGCUGCUUAGCCGGUUAGUUAUUUUGCAGUUUGCUGCCAUCUUCUGUCUGCUGACAGUUGUUACCCUUCUCAAUGGAUUUUAAAAUGACUGCAUCGAUAUGUUACGAUCCAGAUUGAAUUUCUGUUAUUUACAUGUUGGUUAAUGCACUUAAACCUGCACGUGUUUCGAUACACGGGAAAUGUAAUUCAUUUUGGCCUAUAAGUGGGGCAGUUAAACUCGUGCAUUUUAUGAUAAAAGCAUCACCUAUGGUAAAACAUUAACAAGUUAAUUUAACAUUCACUUUUACCUUUAUUUAUAUACAUUUUAUCUAUUCAGUGUCUCCAUUGACUCAUUAGACCCAUUGCAUC